Dasypus novemcinctus (nine-banded armadillo) is the source of this 78-nucleotide small nucleolar RNA. Ensembl annotates it as small nucleolar RNA, C/D box 53B. Lineage: Eukaryota; Metazoa; Chordata; Mammalia; Cingulata; Dasypodidae. The record is from Ensembl.
UUGCCAUGAUGACUUGAGUUUGGUUUCGCAUCUUGCUGAGUUCCAGUGAUGCCUCUUUUCUCUUGGCUGUCUGAGCAG